Molecule: ribosomal RNA, 468 nt
Filed under: uncultured bacterium
Lineage: Bacteria
Description: partial 16S ribosomal RNA
Rfam family: Bacterial small subunit ribosomal RNA
Source: RNAcentral
GACGAACGCUGGCGGCGUGCUUAACACAUGCAAGUCGAACGGAAAGGCCCUGCUUUUGUGGGGUGCUCGAGUGGCGAACGGGUGAGUAACACGUGAGUAACCUGCCCUUGACUUUGGGAUAACUUCAGGAAACUGGGGCUAAUACCGGAUAGGAGCUCCUGCUGCAUGGUGGGGGUUGGAAAGUUUCGGCGGUUGGGGAUGGAUUCGCGGCUUAUCAGCUUGUUGGUGGGGUAGUGGCUUACCAAGGCUUUGACGGGUAGCCGGCCUGAGAGGGUGACCGGCCACAUUGGGACUGCGAUACGGCCCAGACUCCUACAGGAGGCAGCAGGGGGGAAUAUUGCACAAUGGGCGGAAGCCUGAUGCAGCAACGCCGCGUGCGGGAUGACGGCCUUCGGGUUGUAAACCGCUUUCGCCUGUGACGAAGCGUGAGUGACGGUAAUGGGUAAAGAAGCACCGGCUAACUACGUG